RNAcentral lists this ribosomal RNA (696 nucleotides) under Fagopyrum tataricum (Tartarian buckwheat). RNAcentral describes it as "eukaryotic LSU rRNA". The stretch from base 263 to 418 matches the Rfam family "5.8S ribosomal RNA". The record is from RNAcentral. Lineage: Eukaryota; Viridiplantae; Streptophyta; Magnoliopsida; Caryophyllales; Polygonaceae.
CGUAACAAAGGUUUCCGUAGGUGAAGCUGCGGAAGGAUCAUUGUCGAAACCUGCACGAGCAGACAGACCCGCGCACCCGUUUCUCAAACACCCCUGCCGGCGGGGCGAGCUCUCCCGAAACACCAAGUACGGAGGGCGGACCCUUCCCGGCCCCAACGAACCCCGGCGCGGACCGCGCCAAGGACCACGAACAGAAGCGCGUCCCGCCCCUCCCGGUCCCCGGGAGGGGCGGCGGCGCCGCGUCGUUUCUAAGAAACAGAACGACUCUCGGCAACGGAUAUCUCGGCUCUCGCAUCGAUGAAGAACGUAGCGAAAUGCGAUACUUGGUGUGAAUUGCAGAAUCCCGUGAACCAUCGAGUCUUUGAACGCAAGUUGCGCCCGAGGCCUCCCGGCCGAGGGCACGCCUGUCUGGGCGUCACGCACCGCGUCGCCCCCCUCCCCCUCCUCCCUCCGCGGAAGGCGGGCGGUAAGGGGCGGACAGUGGCCCCCCGUGCGUCCUCGCGCGGCCGGCCUAAACGCAGACCCCGUGGCCGCGAACGGCCGCGACGAUUGGUGGUGUACCGGACUACGCAUCGCGUCGCGUCCCCGCGAGCCCCGGGAGCUCAACCCGUUGGGGUUCGGAGGGCCCCGGCCCUCCGAACCGUGCGACCCCAGAUCAGACGGGACUACCCGCUGAGUUUAAGCAUAAUCAAUAAA